GGCACCGGAGAUGGGUACUGAGACACGGACCCAGGCCCUAUGGGGCGCAGCAGGCGAGAAACCUUUGCAAUGUGCGAAAGCACGACAAGGUUAAUCCGAGUGUCUCCUGCUAAAGGAGUCUUUUGUCAGUUGUAGAAUCACUGGUGAAUAAGGGGUGGGCAAGUUCUGGUGUCAGCCGCCGCGGUAAAACCAGCACCUCGAGUGGUCAGGAGGUUUAUUGGGCCUAAAGCAUCCGUAGCCGGUUGCAUAAGUUUUCGGUUGAAUCUAUGCGCUUAACGUAUAGGCCGCCGAAAAUACUGUGCAGCUAGGGAGUGGGAGAGGUACACGGUACUCGAUAGGAAGGGGUAAAAUCCUUUGAUCUAUUGAAGACCACCUGUGGCGAAGGCGGUGUACCAGAACACGUUCGACGGUGAGGGAUGAAAGCUGGGGGAGCAAACCGGAUUAGAUACCCGGGUAGUCCCAGCUGUAAACGAUGCAGACUCGGUGAUGCAUUGGCUUGUGGCCAAUGCAGUGCCGCAGGGAAGCCGUUAAGUCUGCCGCCUGGGAAGUACGUACGCAAGUAUGAAACUUAAGGAAUUGGCGGGGGAGCACCACAAGGGGUGAAGCCUGCGGUUCAAUUGGAGUCACG
This 628-nucleotide ribosomal RNA is filed under the name uncultured archaeon. RNAcentral describes it as "bacterial SSU rRNA". It matches the Rfam family "Archaeal small subunit ribosomal RNA", at positions 286 to 916 of the family's 1478-position model. The record is from RNAcentral.